CGCGUAGGUGGUUUGUUAAGCGAGAUGUGAAAGCCCCGGGCUUAACCUGGGAACGGCAUUUCGAACUGGCAGGCUAGAGUGUGGUAGAGGGUAGUGGAAUUUCCUGUGUAGCGGUGAAAUGCGUAGAUAUAGGAAGGAACACCAGUGGCGAAGGCGGCUACCUGGACCAACACUGACACUGAGGUGCGAAAGCGUGGGGAGCAAAC
RNAcentral lists this ribosomal RNA (206 nucleotides) under uncultured bacterium. RNAcentral describes it as "partial 16S ribosomal RNA". It matches the Rfam family "Bacterial small subunit ribosomal RNA", at positions 568 to 773 of the family's 1533-position model. The record is from RNAcentral.